CCUACGGGCGGCUGCAGUGAGGAAUAUUGGUCAAUGGACGAGAGUCUGAACCAGCCAAGUAGCGUGAAGGAUGACUGCCCUAUGGGUUGUAAACUUCUUUUAUAAAGGAAUAAAACGAGGCACGUGUGCCUUUUUGUAUGUACUUUAUGAAUAAGGAUCGGCUAACUCCGUGCCAGCAGCCGCGGUAAUACGGAGGAUCCGAGCGUUAUCCGGAUUUAUUGGGUUUAAAGGGAGCGUAGAUGGGUUGUUAAGUCAGUUGUGAAAGUUUGCGGCUCAACCGUAAAAUUGCAAUUGAUACUGGCAGUCUUGAGUACAGUUGAGGUAGGCGGAAUUCGUGGUGUAGCGGUGAAAUGCUUAGAUAUCACGAAGAACCCCGAUUGCGAAGGCAGCUUACUAAACUGUGACUGACAUUGAUGCUCGAAAGUGUGGGUAUCAAACAGGAUUAGAUACCCGUGUAGUC
RNAcentral lists this ribosomal RNA (460 nucleotides) under uncultured bacterium. RNAcentral describes it as "partial 16S ribosomal RNA". It matches the Rfam family "Bacterial small subunit ribosomal RNA", at positions 338 to 795 of the family's 1533-position model. The record is from RNAcentral.